CACUGGUCGUUCAGUGCUUGUGUGUGCGUCACAUUCAGCUUAUCUCUUCUACUGGCUCCCUUCGGAAUAGGAUGUCUUGAGUUGGACCUCGCCAGUUAUGACAUCUUCAAAGUCAAGGUUUGAUCAAAAGAAACACUUGGCUGGCAGUGGGACAGUUCACCGUGGCUGGCAGAGAUGAAGUCAAUUGUUCAAGUCACGACGACGGCUGGUGGGACAUAAGAGAUGAAAUUGAUGACACCCGAAGAGAGAAGGAGCACGCUAAUUGAAAGCAAUACCAACAUGCCUUCAACACUCUUACCUCAGCUCCGCCUCACCCCGAGCACAUACCACUCCGCAAGUAGUCUGGACCCUAACAUGUACGACAAGAAAAACAAUCACGUGCUUGAUGGUUUUCAACUGUAAUAACAAUAAUACAAACUGCUGGAAGCUCCAAUUUGUCAAGUAACGAUGAUGGCUGCAGCAGGAGGCUCUACGAGGCGACUUUACAGCUGUAUCUUAGUAUGGAGAUAAAGCGGUUCACCAUGUUUACUGUAAACAGCAUUGUCUGGGACCUCUUAUGGGCUAGUUAAUACACUGUCAUAAGGGCACAAUAGAGGUGUUGUGUGAUCACAAUUCCAUCUGUGAAGGUUUUCACAACCUGAAAGGCUGCAGAACAAACCCGCUGCCCAAUCAUGAGUCAUGCUUAUUGCAAGUGAACUCGAGUAAACUAUGGGCAGUGAGAAGAAUAUGUUGAAAAGGGUAACUCGUGACAAUGCACACAUAGUUCCCUAAACCCUUCUUUGUAAAGGCACGGCCUACAAUAACACCAUUUCACAAAAGUGUGCUAUGCCAGUAAUUUAAGAGUGUGGAAAAUAACAUAUGAAGAAAGACUUUUUAUUUUAAAUGACAUUAAAAACACAAUAUGUUCUCACUGAUAAUAGGAACAAAUAUUCAGUCUUCUAACACCAAUUAAUAAAUUAAGUCUCAAACAUUUUCAUAAAUGAAGCUUUUUUUUCAAAAUUGUAAGCACUUGUGAUAACCUUGCAUUUUUAUUAUUCAUGAAUGCAAUUUCAUAAAUGCAAAAAGUGGUGAUGGAAUACAUUGUGGCACGCGACAAAAGAAAAUCAAUUUCACUUUGAAGAAAUUAAAUUCCCCUCAAUACAAAUUUUCAGUGAGAAAUAAAAAAUAAUAUUCAUAAUAGGCAAAAAAAAGAAAGAAAGAA
Molecule: long non-coding RNA, 1201 nt
Organism: Hippocampus zosterae (dwarf seahorse)
Lineage: Eukaryota; Metazoa; Chordata; Actinopteri; Syngnathiformes; Syngnathidae
Exons: 3
Source: RefSeq, a predicted model, not a curated record